RNAcentral lists this ribosomal RNA (465 nucleotides) under uncultured Weissella sp. RNAcentral describes it as "bacterial SSU rRNA". It matches the Rfam family "Bacterial small subunit ribosomal RNA", at positions 338 to 795 of the family's 1533-position model. Lineage: Bacteria; Bacillati; Bacillota; Bacilli; Lactobacillales; Lactobacillaceae. The record is from RNAcentral.
CCUACGGGGGGCAGCAGUAGGGAAUCUUCCACAAUGGACGAAAGUCUGAUGGAGCAACGCCGCGUGUGUGAUGAAGGGUUUCGGCUCGUAAAACACUGUUGUAAGAGAAGAAUGACAUUGAGAGUAACUGUUCAGUGUGUGACGGUAUCUUACCAGAAAGGAACGGCUAAAUACGUGCCAGCAGCCGCGGCAAUACGUAUGUUCCAAGCGUUAUCCGGAUUUAUUGGGCGUAAAGCGAGCUCAGACGGUUGGAUAAGUCCGGAGGGAAAGGCACGAGCUUAACUGUGGAAGUGCUUGGGAAACUGGAGAACUUGAGUGCAGUAGGGGAGAGUGGAAGUCCAUGUGUAGCGGAGAAAUGCGUAGAUAUAUGGAAGAACGCCAGUGGCGAAGGCGGCUCUCUGGACUGUAACUGACGUUGAGGCUCGAAAGUGUGGGGAGCAAACAGGAUUAGAUACCCCGGUAGUC